RNA transcript from Malus domestica (apple), 1226 nucleotides. RefSeq lists it as uncharacterized. Lineage: Eukaryota; Viridiplantae; Streptophyta; Magnoliopsida; Rosales; Rosaceae. The record is from RefSeq and is a predicted model, not a curated record.
AAAAGGUUGACGAGAAUUGGAUUAUUACCACAAAAAACUCCUUUUAGGGGAUAGACUGGUUAGGAAACAAGGAGCCGUGUAUGGACGCAGCCGCACAUCGUCAUUGUCUGCGGGAGCUCCUAUCGUAUACCUCAGCACUAGCCAAUCAGAACGCGCCAAAACCAGAGAAUGCCCCGCCCCGCACGGUGUUGGCCAUGAGAGGGGGAGCUAUAAGCAUCCGAAUCACCACCAGAUUCAACCCCCAACGACCCCGACCACGGCUACCCUUCUGUGCGCGCACCACCAUCCACAAUAACUCCAUGGCCGACCGCGACGGCGAUGCGGCAGCAGCAGCAAUUAAGACUCGAGUCCCUCAACCGAUUGAAGCAGCGAAGCCGAAAGAGGAAGAAGGACAGUCAGCGGAGACAUCACCUCCGCCUCCGCCGCCAGAGAAGCCGGAGCCGGGCGAUUGCUGCGGCAGCGGAUGCGUCCGGUGCGUGUGGGAUGUGUAUUACGACGAGCUCGACGAAUACAACAAGCUGUACAAAUCGGGAUCGCGGUGUCGUGGAGGGAAGAUGCGUAGGUCAGAGUUCAUGGGCGUUGCUGUGAUCGCGGCGGUGGCGGCGGCUCUGCUACUGUUUGGAAACGCCGUCGCUGUGGAGGCUUCGGCUUCGUCUUCGGCGGCGUUCGUGCAGAACGCCAUCUACUCCAACAAGAUUGCCAUCUUCUCCAAAUCCUAUUGCCCGUAUUGCUUGCGUGCCAAGCGCAUGUUUGCCGAAUUACAUGAGCAUCCGUUUGUUGUCGAACUUGAUCUUCGAGGUAUGAAAUGAUGAUGGAGCUCAAAUUCAGAGUGUUCUUCUAGAUGUGGUAGGCCGAACCACUGUCCCGCAGAUUUUUGUGAAUGGAAAGCACAUUGGCGGCUCUGAUGACCUCAAAGCGGCAGUUCUGAGUGGCCAGCUUCAGAAGCUUCUUAGUAUAAGUUGAGGAGAUAUGUUAGAUUAAGAAACACGAGCGCAGAUGUGAAGCUGCAUAUGGGGAUUAAAGAGUUAGUUCUCUGACUUUGAUGUAGCUAAAAUGAUUUUUCUGUCUGCAAAUAAUAAUUGAUGUAAUGUUGAAUUAGCACAAUCAUCGAUUUUCCACAGCAUUUGAGAAAUCAUAUGUAUUUGAUGACUAGCAAUCUCGGUUUUUCUAUUUUUGAUACACUAAGACUUUCUGCUAUCCAAAUAAAAAGCAUUGAAUUCAACAAC